GCACGAGGCACAUAAAUCACACAUAAAUCUUCUGGACAGACUUGCCCAGUAGGACACAGCUGGCACAUCUGGCCUUGCUCAGACCUUGCACCACCCCUCAAUGGCAUCUCCGGCCUCAGUGCUGCCCCACGGCCAAGGGACUCAAAUUUACCUCACAACAGUUUCUUCCUUCAGAAAAAGACCAAUCAGACUCUGCAGAGCUUCUCCACAUUGCACUGAGGACUCUGAAAGCAAAACAUGAGGAUAUGAUGGAGUAACCAGAAAACGCAGAGGAGAUUACAGCCUGGAGAGCUGGAGAUUUCCUGUCUGAAAAAAAGUUAAUAAGAG
Molecule: long non-coding RNA, 327 nt
Organism: Passer domesticus (house sparrow)
Lineage: Eukaryota; Metazoa; Chordata; Aves; Passeriformes; Passeridae
Exons: 4
Source: RefSeq, a predicted model, not a curated record